This 368-nucleotide unclassified non-coding RNA is filed under the name soil metagenome. RNAcentral's name for it is "partial contains 5.8S ribosomal RNA, internal transcribed spacer 2, and large subunit ribosomal RNA". The stretch from base 1 to 120 matches the Rfam family "5.8S ribosomal RNA", at positions 35 to 154 of the family's 154-position model. The record is from RNAcentral.
GAUGAAGAACGCAGCGAAAUGCGAUAAGUAAUGUGAAUUGCAGAAUUCAGUGAACCAUCGAAUCUUUGAACGCACAUUGCGCCCGGCAGUAAUCUGCCGGGCAUGCCUGUCCGAGCGUCAUUUCUGCCCUCGAGCGAGUCCAGCAUCUAGGUGCUGGGCCCGCCCGGCGUUGGGGCACUACGGGAAGCCCUGUGCUGUCCCCCGUAGGCCCCGAAAUGAAGUGGCGGUCCUGCCGCGGCGCCCCCUGCGUAGUAUAACAGCUCGCUUCGGGAGCCGGUGGAGGCCUGCCGUCAAACCUUACUCUCUAAGUUUGACCUCGGAUCAGGUAGGGUUACCCGCUGAACUUAAGCAUAUCAAUAAGCGGAGGA